Molecule: long non-coding RNA, 1846 nt
Filed under: Heterocephalus glaber (naked mole-rat)
Lineage: Eukaryota; Metazoa; Chordata; Mammalia; Rodentia; Bathyergidae
Description: lncRNA (ENSHGLG00000033980.1)
Source: RNAcentral
CUGUGAUCCCAGCUCCUGAUGUGAGAUGGUGACUGUAGUUCCCCGGCUUUGUCAUAGCUUGAUUCUUGCUCUUACGUUUAUGCAUAAACAUGAACGGCUGCAGAGCCAGGACGUGAGAUCAGCCUCGAGGAGAUGAGAAAGACCCAGCCAAUGGCCAUCAAAAAAACAAAAAAAGAAGAAUCCUCCAGCUGAAGGAAUUGGAUUCUUCCAACAACUGGAGUGACCUUGCAGGAGGACCUGGGGCCCUACGUGUGCCCACAGCCCGGCCAGCACCUUGUUUUGCCAGAGGAUCUUGCUAACCCUCAUGCGGACUUCCGACUACAGGAAACAGAGGCAAGGUGGUGCUGCUUCAAGCUCCUGUGUCUGUGCUGACUGCUGUCCGGGAUGGAAUGAACACACUUCCGCUCUUCCACCCGACCUCCCUCUGCAGAGGAGCCCCAACGCAGCUCUGCUGUUCACCAUUCCCGAGCACGCUCUGUACCUUCACUGCAUAUUUAUGUGACCAUGAAAGUUACGCAGUACUGGCUUUAGAUAUUAAAUCCGCCUGCGGGACCCUGUGCAUAGCAUUCUGCACCUGCUGUGGUUGCUCAACAGCGUACUCAGCUCCACAGCCCCGGGAGAGACGCGCCUGCCGUCCACUCAUCUCCAUGGCUGACUAAAAUCCCUGAGACGAGGGUUUCCAGCCACUCACCACCACUGCAGAUGUCAAAGCCGCCCUGACAAAUGUUGUGUAGAUGUUCGGGUUAUUGCACCUUCCUGAUGGAUAGGAAGUUCUAGCCAUGUGCACUAUCAUCCUCUUUGUACAUUUUGUUGCUUUUCCUCUUGAAUUCUCACUUGCCCCAUGAUGAAGGUGUCUGUAAUCAUUCCUGACAUCUGACUUUAUGCUCCUGCGAACAGCCCAUCCUCCCUUGAGUUUAUUCCUCCCAUCCAUACAAUCUACUGGCUUGGCAGCGUUUUCUUAGUUUCAUUUUCCCUUCUUUUGGCUCUCUGGGAGUCACACAAAGAUGGCCAGUACCAGUGGGGUUUUUUUGGUUUUGCUUUUGUUUUCUUUUGGUACCGGGGAUCAAACUCGGGUCCUUGUGCUUGCGCAGCAGGUGGUGAAACCACUGAGGUAAAUCCCCGGCCCCCACCAGUGGGUUUUUAACACACUAACCUCUGAUGGCAUAAACCAUGUUACUUAGACCCCUUAGAUCCGUCUCUUCCUGCCUGUCUCCCUUUUGCUGAACCCCUGCCUGGGCUCAGCUCUGCCCAGUACACAGGGCUGCAGGGCUGGGCGAGGGAGAGGGGCAUGGGAACUCAGUGGUCCCCAAGGCCUCAGUCUGAGCUCUGCCUGGGUACAAAGUCCCCCGAGGGCCCUGCUGCCCCAGGGAGCAGCCUCUUGGGGUCCUGGACACAUCUCUGGGACCACCCCUCCCCCAGGUACCAGAGCCCUGCUCCAACUCUGCCUCUUCUAGCUGCCUAAGAAACUCAGUGUAGGAGAAAAUAUUUAUCUUGGCUCACGGUGUCAGACAUUUCAGUCCAUGGUUGGCUGGCUCCAUUGUGUCUGAGCUGGCAGGGAGGGGUUGGUGGCACAAAGCUGCCCACCUGUCAGGGAGCAGAGGAGGUGGGACAAAAGUGGGACCUUUGAAGCCCCACCCCCAGGGACCUACUUCCUCCAACCAUGGCCCUCCUCCUCGAGAUUGCCCCAUCUCCUGACAGCGCCACGGGCUGGCACCAAGCCUUUAGCACACAGCUUUCAAGGGACUUUUUGUUUGUUUGUUUUGUUUUUUGAGACAGGGUCUCGCUAUGUAGUCCAGGCUGGCCUCAAACCCAUGGUGAUCCUCCUGCCCCAGCCUGAGGAACACUG